GUGCUGUAUGAAAGGAGAGAAGGUUAACACUUCUCUUGACAAGGAUGGAAGAGACACCCUCGGGCCUGACAACAAGCUUACAGUUAAGGCAUUGCCACCCACUUCAUGGCAUCCAACUAUCAUUUUUA
This 128-nucleotide non-coding RNA is filed under the name Macaca fascicularis (crab-eating macaque). Lineage: Eukaryota; Metazoa; Chordata; Mammalia; Primates; Cercopithecidae. The record is from RNAcentral.